GAUGAACGCUGGCGGCGUGCCUAAUACAUGCAAGUCGAGCGAACAGAUGAGGAGCUUGCUCCUCUGACGUUAGCGGCGGACGGGUGAGUAACACGUGGAUAACCUACCUAUAAGACUGGGAUAACUUCGGGAAACCGGAGCUAAUACCGGAUAAUAUAUUGAACCGCAUGGUUCAAUAGUGAAAGACGGUUUUGCUGUCACUUAUAGAUGGAUCCGCGCCGCAUUAGCUAGUUGGUAAGGUAACGCCUUACCAAGGCAACGAUGCGUAGCCGACCUGAGAGGGUGAUCGGCCACACUGGAACUGAGACACGGUCCAGACUCCUACGGGAGGCAGCAGUAGGGAAUCUUCCGCAAUGGGCGAAAGCCUGACGGAGCAACGCCGCGUGAGUGAUGAAGGUCUUCGGAUCGUAAAACUCUGUUAUUAGGGAAGAACAAAUGUGUAAGUAACUAUGCACGUCUUGACGGUACCUAAUCAGAAAGCCACGGCUAACUACGUG
Molecule: ribosomal RNA, 497 nt
Filed under: uncultured bacterium
Lineage: Bacteria
Description: partial 16S ribosomal RNA
Rfam family: Bacterial small subunit ribosomal RNA
Source: RNAcentral